Molecule: ribosomal RNA, 426 nt
Filed under: uncultured bacterium
Lineage: Bacteria
Description: bacterial SSU rRNA
Rfam family: Bacterial small subunit ribosomal RNA
Source: RNAcentral
AUUGAACGCUGGCGGCAUGCUUUACACAUGCAAGUCGAACGGUAACAGGUCUUCGGAUGCUGACGAGUGGCGAACGGGUGAGUAAUGCAUCGGAACGUGCCCAGUCGUGGGGGAUAACGCAGCGAAAGCUGCGCUAAUACCGCAUACGAUCUAUGGAUGAAAGCGGGGGACCGUAAGGCCUCGCGCGAUUGGAGCGGCCGAUGUCAGAUUAGGUAGUUGGUGGGGUAAAGGCUCACCAAGCCAACGAUCUGUAGCUGGUCUGAGAGGACGACCAGCCACACUGGAACUGAGACACGGUCCAGACUCCUACGGGAGGCAGCAGUGGGGAAUUUUGGACAAUGGGCGCAAGCCUGAUCCAGCAAUGCCGCGUGCAGGAAGAAGGCCUUCGGGUUGUAAACUGCUUUGUACGGAACGAAACGGUCUGGG